UUUUUUUUUUUUUUAAACUUUUUCAUUAUGGUUUCAUUUUAUGAGAUAUUUCAGGUAUUUAAAUUUUCCUUUAUGAGAUUUUUUUUAGUUUUUCUUUUUUUAAAUUUAGGUCUGUCAUGGAUUGAAAUUUCACUUUGGUCUAGUAUAAAUCAUACAUUGCACAUGGAAAAUAUCUUAGAAAAGAAAUCAACUUAAUGCAUACUGCUAAAGCAGAGGAGAUUUGGAUUUUUUUCAAAGAAAUAAAACCGAAUAGGUGCAGAAAUUAUAAUAAAACAAAAAUGAUGAUGGCAGACUUUUUCUUUUUCUUUUUUUUGUUGUUAUUUAAAGUGGUGACAGACUUAGUAUUAAGCAACUUUAAGGCUUUAUUAUGGUGAAUGAGACUGGCAACUUGUUAAGCCAGUAAAGUCUAGUAGGAAAUGAUCCACUUAUCAUGGUAUUCAAUUUUUUAUCCAAUAGAAACUGUUGACUUAUAGACAAUCUGUCAAAAAAAAGUUUUUGUUUUUGGUAUAUUAUUGUUGACCUGUAGGCAAUGUAUUCAAUGCUAGCAUAUGGUGAUUUUUUUUCCUUCUUUAUUUUUUUCCCUUCUUUAUAUUAUUGUUGGCAAGUAGACAAUCAUUCAAUGUUAGUAUAUGGUGAUAUUCGUUUUUUUUUUUCAACUGUGAGUAAGGUUAUCAAUAUGGUUUAAGUAAAUUUGGUAGGAAUCUAUUUCUGAAAUAGCAAUCUGAUUACCAUUUUUUUGUAUUUGUCUUUUAUCAAAGCAAACAUAGCCACUUUGUGUAUUGCACAAUAUUAAAAUUCCAAAUAUCAAAACACAGAGUUUACAUAUUUGUAAACAAUCAUUAAUUUCGUGACUAAUGUAUUAAAUUCGUUACAUAUUUUGUCUCUAUUGGCAUCGUUUCACUAGACAGGGUAUGAUCAUCAUAUACGUUGUCUUCAAAUCUCUUCAGAAAGUUGCCCUAUUCGAAAAUUUUCAGAAUUAUGUUUAUUUUUAAUUCCCUGGAUUUUAUGUAUAAUGGAUGGUUUUUAUUUUAUUUUAGUUUAAUUUUAAUUUAGGAAAAAUUACAUUUUACCCCUAUGAUUUAGUAUUUUUUUACAUAACCCCCCUAUGGUUUCAAAAACUAUAGAUAACCUCUUCAUGGUUUGGAUUAAAGUGUCAAAAUAACAGAAUUUGCAUUCCAUAACGGAAUCAACUAAAAUGUCAAAAAUACCCCUAUGUAAAGUUGAAAAUUAUUUAUUAACCACAGGGGGGUUAUGUAUAUAUUUUGAAAAUCAUAAAAGGAUUAUAUGGUAAGGUACUAAAUCAUAAGAGAGUUAUAUGGUAAAAUAUAAAAUCAUACAUUUAUCAUGCAUAUUAUGCUUAUAUAUUUUGAUUACUUCAAUAAUUUUACCUUUAAAACAAGGGUAAUUUUGACAUUUUUAUAGAAUUCGUUACGAAUGAUCAUUUUCGUUAUUUUGAUAUUUUAAUUCAAAUUAUGAGUGGAUUAUAUAAGUUUUAAAACUAUAGGGAAUUAUGUGAAAAAUAGCUAUACCACAUGGGGUAAAGUGUAUUUUGACCUUUAAUUUAAGUAGUUGCAAUUUUAACACCAAGUCUAUUCUCAAGUGGAUAUGCAAGAUAAAUGCAAUGUUUUGAAAAUCGGACCGGACCGGCCGGUUUGACAGGUCGGACCGCAAACCGGUUAUGUCUCCGGUCCGGUUCACUACUAAAGUUGACUUGUUAUAAGAACCGGUCAAAACCAUAAAAACCGUUAGAACUGUUCAACCCGGAUUGACCCAUUGAACCACGGUUUUUUAUUUUUUCCUAAUUUUUUAAAUCGAAUUUAAAAGUCUUGAAAGGUGAAAAUGCAUCUUCCCAACUUUUCUUUCUAACCCUAAUUUCUAAUGACGGCUGCCGCAUACUCUCUCUCAUUCUUAAUCUUUUCUCCAGUUCUCUUUAUUCUUGUUUCAAAUUAAGAAUCCAAAUUCUCAAAGGUAUCGGGCUUCUUAAAUAUGGGGUUUCUUAACUGCAAUUCUCUAUUUUUUCUUGCAAAAGAUUGGAUUAAUCUCACAAAUCUUAACUCUCAAGACAUCGUCCAGGUUAGUUUCAUUUUUUUUUCAUUUAUUUGUUUAUUACUUGGCGUUUGAUAGAUUGUAUGAUUCUUGAGGUCUGCAAUUUUUGGUAGUUUUAUUUUUAUUGUUCGAUUUUUCUUUGAAGAGCAAUUUGUCUAUUUCAGUUUUUUUUUCUUUUUCUUUUGUGGGUAAGAAUUUGAAUGCCAUGAGAGAAAACCAGUGCAGAAAGCUAAUUUACUUGAUCAACUAUUAUGUCACAAAACUCAGGAUUCAAUUCCUAUUUUUGGUAUUGUAUGUGUACUUCACUUUUGUUGAUUAUGUACUGGAAAAUUCUUGAAGUACUUUGCACUAAAAUAUAUAAUUUAUUUUGGCUGCUCUUAUCCAUUAGGAAUACUCAAGAACAUAAUCUUUAUACUAGGCCGACAAACGAUGUUAGGGACACUAUUUAGUGGAUUUUCCAAAAUAUUGCAACAGGCUACACUUGCAAUUUUUGUGCCUAUUCCAGAGCAUGAUGAUCAAAUUGCGUGGCUUGAAAAUUCUUCAGGGAUGUUUACCGUAAAGGAUGCUAUGAAAACAUUCCGGCCCGAGGUACCGCUGUACAUUGAAGUAGUUUAGUAUGGUAUGAAAAUCACAUUCCUAGACAUGUUUUUAUAUUGUGUUUGGUAUGUAACAAAGACUUAGUACGCUGGAUUAGAGGAAAUGCGGUGUUCUCAGUUGGGGAAAAAUUCCUAGAACUCGUGCAAUAUUCAGAUUAAUUGUUCUUAUUCACUGGUUGUAGCAAGAAAAGGGGAGCCUGCAUGUUUGUGAGUUCUCAGAUUGUAAAAAGCCUCCAAAGGAUCCUACAUACAGUUUGCUAUGAUAUUUAUAUUACCUACUACUGUUAGCCUGUUACUUGACAUAGUUGGAUCUUUAAGUGCUUUUAUGUACUCUUUUUCCAGGCAGAAUGUUCUGCGAUACACUUGUUGUAUUCUUCUUCUUCUUCUUCUUUUUUUUUUUUUGUUUUUGUCAAAACAUGUUUAUAGGCUGAGAGGUUAGAUCACUUUCUAUAACACACAAUAAAGAAGUAACUACUAAUUUUGUUGCAAUACAUCGACUACCAAGUUUAUCAAAAAAACAGAAAGUUAUUUGUCAGUGACAAACGGAGAUGAUGCAAACAAAUGUAUGCGUCCGGGAUAUCGUUGUUGCAAAACAGAGGUGCAUGAUAAAAACUACUAAAGAAGCAUGAUAUUAGUCUAAAGAAAAUAAUCGAACUCCUAAACUAGUUAAGAAUUUUGUGACUUCUAUCAUAAUGGAGACACAAAAGUACGUGAAUCUAUUAGAUUUUUCAAUUCCUUUCCGGUUAAAUAGAAAGUUCUGAGUAUUUUGACUUCCGGAAUAAGUUUAUUCUAAUUGUUCUCAUAUUAUAACAUAUUCAUUUGGUAAGCUAGUCUCUAUCUGUUUGUUUCAGAUUUUGACUAUGAAUUAAGGUUGGAUAGGGAGCAAAACCAGUUUGAUUGGUUUUUCUUUUAAAGAGUCUGAUCUCCCUUCCAAGGUAGAUGGAGCAAAGGCAGAGGUCCAAGACCAAGAGAAAGAUGACAAGAGAGAAAAGAUUGAUAGGAACUUAACUCAUCUUCUAUUAAGUGGAUUAAGCUAUUAAUUUUCUAAUAGAUUAGUUGUACUAAUCAAUUACUAUAGCACAUUUGUUGAUUUUUUUGGGCAUACACUAAGAAGCAACACCUUAGUAUUACCAAAAAAAAAAAAGAAGCUUAUAAGAGACUUGUAUUGAAACUGAAAAUGAGCUUAUGCUAUUAAUUCAUCAACUCAUUAUUUAUAGUAAUUACAUGAAAUAAACUAACAAAAUAUCUAACUAACAAUUAUCCUAAAAAAUUUCAACAAAACACUUGAUAACAUAGUCUCCUACUCAACAAAUCUUCUCUAAAAUAUUUGUUAACAAAGCACAUGAUUUUUAGUUAACAAAUAUCCUAACAACAAGAUUUAUUUAACUACUAACUAAAUUAUUCUAAUAUCAAACAUAAUAUAAUAAAAUCUAUAAAAAAAGUUGGCAUAUUUCAACACUUCUUCUUGCCACUUUUGCUGCAGAUUUUGAAUUGCCUUCUCAAAAUUUUGGAUCUUGUCUUGGAGAAAACUUUUAUAAGAAUCUCUGCAACUGAUGAUUAGCCUUGCAAUGAACUUCUUCUUUUGGACUUUCAUACAAGCUAAAGAUUAGUCUUGCAACAAACUCACUUCUUUUGUCUUCUCAUGCCAAAGUCCAAAUAAAAGAUGUUUUUUUAAUUAUUUUUUUAUGUUUCCAAAUAAUCUUCUCAUAGGAUUAAAGUGAAACACCAUUCGACAAUAUUUAAACUUAUAAAAAAAAUAUUAAAUUCUACAUGGUUCUUCAUUUUAUCAUCACCAUCAAAACUUGUAGACUAAAAAACAACAAUAUUAUAAUCAUGAUAAAUAUUAGUAAUCAAUUUGAUACCUCAUAACUUAUCAAUGAUCUCCUGUUGAAUUUUUUCAGGAUCUAAAUUCUUGAUUUCAUCACGUUUUACUUCAAAAUUAUCAAAACCCGACCAAUUCAUAGUGAAACUUUGUCUUUUCAUUUUAAUUGAGAAUAAUUAGUUCUCAAUCAAAUUAUAAGCCAUUAUCCUUGUGAAAACGGCAUCAAAUGAUAUGUGAAUGCUGAUUUUGGAUCUCUAUCUAACUUCAACUCUACGGUCUUUAAUCUGUAUAUCCAUCGGUUUUUCAAAUAUUGACGAUACAAAAUUUGUGUCCACCAUAUCCCAUAGAUUGCUGACUACCAAAUAAGUCCAAAAUUUAAUGGCCUAAAUUUGGUAAGUUUCACCACUAAAAGUUGAAGCAUUUGACAAAAAGUUCUUUCCUAUCAUGGUUUUGAACUUAUAAAGGAUCCUCAUCAAAUGUUCUCACUCUCAAAAAACAACACAGGCAUUAAGACAUAGGCUCUGAUACCACUUUGUUGUUUUUCUUGGGGCAUAAAUUAAGAAAUAACACCUUAGUGUUACAAAAAAAAUUAUAAAAGACUUGUAUUGAAACUGAAAAUAAUCUUAUAUUAUUCAUUUAUCAACUUACUAUUUAUAGUGAUUAUAUGAAACAAGCUGACAAAAUAUCUAACUAACAAUUAUCUUAAAAAAUCUCAACAAAACACUUGAUAACAUAAUCUCCCACUCAACAAAUUUUUGCUAAAAUAUUUGUUAACAAACCAUAUGAUUUUUAGUUAACAAAUAUCCUAACAACAAGAUUUUAUUUAACUACUAACUAAAUUAUUCUAAUAUUAAACAUGGUCUAAUAAAAUCUGUUGAAAAGGUUGGCAUAUGUCAACAACAUUGAUUUGAUUUUGCUUGAGAUUACAGGCAUCAUUAGUUCCAUACUACCAUGUGACACUUGUUUGUACAUUUUUUUUUUUUGUAUCGAAAUGGGACUUCUGCUAACUACUUCUAUUAAAAAGUGAAGCAGGUUUAAAGACCAGAAUUGGUGUGAAAUAAUGUGGGAAUGCAAAUAAAACUAAUUCACGGUUAUGAUAGAGAACAUAAAAGCUAAUAGGCAGUAUAUAUGCUAAACUGAAUUGCAGGAAAGGUAAAAGCGAAUACCAAAGAGUCGAGCGGCCAAAAAAAAAAAAAAAAAAGGACUCCUGCUGCUUUUGGUCAAAAUUUGCUUAACGAUCAAGGAGGUAUGGGACGGUAAAGAAGAAAACAAAAUCAUGUCCUAAUUUAUUAGGACAUGAACUUUCGUCUAUUAUUCUUAACUGCAAGGAGCUGUUGACUACAUUCUAGCCGAAUAUGUUUCUACCAUAACUACAGCGAAGCAAACAAAUGUGCAGACAUCCUAGCAAACUGGGGAAGAAGCAGCACUCAAGACUUCACUUCUUUUGAAUUAUGUCCUAAUUUUGUCCUUCCCUUACUUUUGCAAGACUUAAAGGGUGUUACCACCCCACGGAUGACUGUACUUUAACUUCCACUCUGUAGACUUGGCUUUUACUUUAAUGCAUCUUUAUUUACCAAAAAAAAAAAAUAAAUAAAACAAAAUAGCUUUGGAUUGAAAAUUCUAGCGUUUAAUACUAACAGUGGCACUGGCUUGUAUCUACUUUUAUGCUUACCCAAAAGACUUCUAGUUUCAUGGCCGGAUUUCAUAACUUGUGUCUAGUUACUCCAUAAAUGUACUAUGCAAGUGAUUAAUAUGAUACAACAUAUAUGUAAAAUUUAAAAAUUACAUUACUAACCAUGAAAUUAAAACUAAACUAAGGAAUAUUAUAAGUGGCUUUUAGGAUGGAACAUAUACGCUCAUGAAUUUUAAGUUACUACUCGGACAUACCUGUGGUAUCCUUCAAUAGGAUUUUAUAAUCACUUCAAAAAUUAUAAUUGUCUAACUUAUUUGCUAAGUUUUCCAUAGCUUACAAUUUUUCUUCGUUGUGUUGGAUAUGGUGGGAAUUGAGAGUCCGACAUUGAUUCUGUUGAUGCAGUAUUUUCUUGUUGGUCGACGAAAUCAAAAUCCUUCCUUAUCUCUGACGGAGUUUUUGAGCAUCCACAACUCAUACCAAGGUUAUAAUACCCCGAUGUGUAGUGAUUUCCCAUAUUUGGAUUAAAAUAAGUAGGUGGAGGAUACAUGGGAAUUGGGCAUGAAAAAUUUGGUAGAUUGUGGAAAUUUGAUGGAUAGUUGGAAUUGGAUAAAUUUAGGGGAUAUACAUAAUUUUGCACAUUUGUAGGAAUACCAGAAAAUGGGUAUUUUAGGUAAUUUGAAAAAUUUUGGUGGUUUUGAUUUUGCGAGGAGGAUGAAUUUUCUAUAUUUGGAGCAUUUACAUAUUUGUAAAACUACUAAAAUUCUCAUCCAUAAACAAACUAUUGAAUUUUUGUUAAAAAAUUGUGCAAAGAGGUUGAGGAAAAUGAGUGAGAGAGUAAAAGGAAUAAUAGAGUAGGAUAGUAAGAUAUGAAAGAAAAAGGAAUGUGUUGUGUUUAUAUAGAGAAUUAAAACAUAACCAUUGGAAAAAAAAAAGAACGUUGCUAACUUUUCCUUGCCAAUAUAAAUUUUGUCCGUUGUGACUUCAAAAAAAUUAGAUUUUUAAAAAAAUUGGUCUAAAGGCACUAGUCUACCUGUUACACUAUCAUCAGAAUGAUACGUGUAAUGGAUAUUACACGGGCAUAAUGAAUGACCGUGUAAUGGACCAAUGUCAUGACAGGUAGUACAUGCAUCAUUACACUCCAUUGUGGAUGCCCAUAUACUAACAAAACUGGACCCUCAAAGGCAGCUUUUUGAUGACAAGCACAUGAGAAGUAGAUUUCCUCGAGCAGCCUCUGGAUAGUGCUUGUGGCGGUGCUGGUGCUUUUGACAUUCUGGGCUACAAUGGUGAUGGACUAGGCAAUGUGGAAGAAUAUAUUAUACUGGAAAGAAAUUCACAAAAUAUGGGUGCAGAACUCCUCAAGGGUGUAAAUAUUAUAUUUAUAUCACCCCUGCUUUUACAAUAUAAUUUCUUCUUCCCUAUGCUUUAAUACAUUGACUACUUAACAAAUGUAGAUAUAUUUGCUUAUAAAACUUCUAUCAGUAAGUUUACUUCUUCACGCACAUUCAUCAAUGUCUUAUGAUCACCAGCCUCAAAUGAUUAUAUGGGUUAAACUUUUUAAAAUAUUUAACACCGGCACAACUAUGCAUUGAAAUGAUAAAAUAUUCAAGAGUCUUGGAAGGUGCAACCUAGCCCAAUUAUUACUACUGAUCAGCAAGCUCAACAGUCAAGACUUCUUCCAUUCUUUUGUUCCUAAUUUUUACCUACUUUCCUUCAAUGACCUCUCACACCAAUCAUUCCUCUGUUCAUCAUCUCACCAUUAAUCUCUCAAAUUCCUCCAAUAAAGUUCAGUUUUGUGCCUUAAACCAUAUGCGCAGAGUUUUGUGCCUUAAACCAUAUGUGCAGGUUUGAUUUCUUAAUCUACAAUAGCUUUUGUUUUUAUUAUUUCUACAAUUUACUAAUGUUCUAGUUUGAGAUUUAAAUCUAAUACUGUAUUUGCUUUGAUUUUGCAGUUCUUAUACUUUCAAAGGCAAGUACUUAUCUUUCUUCAUCUUUUUCUUUUGUUUGAUUUUUCUUUUUCUCCAACCUUAUUCUUAGCAUUUUUAGCCGUUGCCUGAGUCUAAGUUUGCCAUCUUUUCUUCAUCUCUCUCUCUCUCUCUCUCUCUCUCUCUCUAUUUUUCCUUUUUCAGUCUUAUCAGCAUUGUUUACAUAGCAUUUGGUUAAACAAUUAGUAGCAAUUUUUUUUCCUUGAAGAAGUUUGUUUUCCAAUUUCGUGGACAAUAUUCAAUGAGAUUGAUACAUAGUGUCAGAACUAUUGUACAAGUUAUCUCUGUACCAAUUUUGGCUUUCUUUCUGCGUUUAUAUCUACUGGUGGAUGCUGCACUUUUUGUUAUCUAGAAGGAUUUUUUCCUUAUAUUUUGUUUUGUGAUUGUAUGUAUUAUAUUUGCAUUAGGGCAGUGGGGAUGUACUCUACUAGAUUUCUAUUUUUUUGCUUUGUAUAUGGAAUAUUAGGGCAAAUUUCACUUUACCCCCUGUGGUUUAGCGUUUUUCACAUAACCCCUAUGGUUUCAAAAGCUAUACAUAACCCCUUAUGCUUUGGAUUAAAGUGUCAAAGUAACGGAAAUAGUCACUCGUAAUGGCGUCACCUAAAAUGUCAAAAAUACCCUUAUGUAAAGUUGAAAUUUAUGUAUUAACCAAGGGGGGUUAUGUGUAUAUUUUGAAAAUCAUAAGGGGGUUAUAUGGUAAAGUAUUAAACCAUAGGGGGGUUAUAUGGUAAAAUAUAAAAAUCAUACGGGGUUGAUGUGUCAUGUAUUUAUAAGGGUAAUUUUGACAUUUUUAGAAGUUCCGUUACGAGUGACUAUUUCCGUUACUUUGACACUUUAAUCCAAACCAUGAGGGGGUUAUGUAUAGCUUUUGAAACCAUAGGAGGGUUAUGUAAAAAAAGGGUAAACCAGGGGGGUAAAAUAUAAUUUACCCGGAAUAUUAUGAUGUUAAAGUUGGAGAUGAAAGCUGUCUUUAGAGUGUUUGACUUCAUGGAGAAAGUUCCGCUGUUCAUACUUUCCAUUUAGCCAGUAAUUCUACUUACUGUUUGGCAACUUUCUCGAUUUCAUAUUACUAGAAAACGAAUUUCUUGUUUCUUGGUCUCAGGCUUGUCACAUUCAUAUACUUUUGUUCAAGAAGUCAAAAUUUGUUAAUUGGCUAAAAGGCUAGAUCACUUCUCUGAACACUGAAUGAAGAAAUAUCUAUUGAAUUUUGUUGCUGAUGCAAACGAUUAAUAUGUACAGUUUUUGUAGAAACACCCAAUCAACAACUAACCAAACAGAGCAUAUAUGUGUGCCUCUUAGGAUGUCAUUGCUGCAAAACAGGGGUAACAUGAACAAAACUAGUAAGGAAUUUUAGAUUAGGCCGAAGGAAAUCAUCGAACUCCUAAGUUGGUCAAGAAUAUGGUGUCUUCUAUCAUAAUAAAGAGACAGAAGUAAGCCAAUCUAGUGGUAUUUUCAAUUUCUUUCCGGUAAAAUAGCGACUGCUGAUUAAUAUGACUUCUGAAUAGGUUUGUUCCAAUUAUUCUCAUCUUACGAGAUUUUCAUUUGGUAAAGUUAUCUUGAUAUAUUAGUUUUUAGAGUUUGCCAUCAAUUAAGGUUGGUAGAAGGAGCAAAACUAGUUAAGUUGGAGCAUCAUGCAUGCUCCCACACAUUUUGAUGGGUUGACGAAACUAGCACGCUUGGGAAGAACAUGAGCAACAUAUAUACCUAAUCAUAUGUUGAAUGAUAAUGAUGCUUGGCAAAUGCUUAUUUCAGAGAGUAAAGCAGGUUAAAACAGAAGAUAUAUGACAUCCCGCAAGUAUUUCUAGUGACUUUCAUAUGUAGUUCAGCCAAAAUCAUUUCAUUGGUCAAGCAUGGUACUAAUGUAGCUUAAUAUCUUAUUUCCACAUUGAGUUUGAUUGUAUUUAAGCCUUUCAAUAUUCCCUUAACUACUGAUGAAUAUUGUUUCUGAUCAAUUCUCAUUUUAUUUCCUGCCAACUGCCAAGUACCCUUGUCCUUGACAUGUAUAGCAAUAGCUAGAUUGUUACUACUGCUACCUUACCUCCUACCUUUAACAUAAUCCAAAUUGCAGAAUAGCAGCAAGGUACUGGAAAUGGAACAAAUUCUUCACACGAAAGGAGGGGAAGAUGAGGAAAGCUAUGCCAAAAAUUCAACAUUUCAAGUAAGUGAUAAAUAUCAGAUAAAGUCUGAAUGAUUCUCUCCGGCCCUCUAUAUAUAAUUGUGUGACUGAUCUCUAAAUCAGUUUCUACCCUUUGGAGAUCAGUGUUUAUGAAUGUCAACCAUGCACUCAAUCGGAGCAUUCAGGGUUUUGUCAAGCCAGCCUAGCAGAGGCAGAGUGCAUAAGAGUAGCAGAUCUGGGAUGUGCAUCGGGACCGAGUAGGGCAAAUUACAUUUUACUCCCCUGUGGUUUAGCAUUUUUUACAUAACCCCAUAUGGUUUCAAAAGUUAUACAUAACUCCCUCAUGGUUUGGAUUAAAGUGUCAAACUCCCUCAUGGUUUGGAUUAAAGAAUCACUGACAGAAAUAGUCACUCGUAACGAAACUUCUAAAAAUGUCGAAAUUACCCUAAUAAAUACAUGACACAUUAACCCCGUAUGAUUUUUAAAUUUUACUAUAUAACCCCCUUAUGGUUUUCAAAAUAUACACAUAACCCCCUUGAUUAAUAAAUAAUUUUUAACUUUAUAUAAGGGUAUUUUUGACAUUUUAGGUGCUCCAUUACGAAUGGUCAUUCCUGUCACUUUGACACUUUAAUCCAAACCAUAUGGGGUUAUGUAUAGCUUUUGAAACAAUGGGAGGGUUAUGUAAAAAACGUUAAACCACAGGGGAGUAAAAUGGAAUUUGCCCGACCGAAUACGUUGUUAACAGUUGAAAGCAUUAUAGAUAGCAUUAAUAGAGAAUGCCAUAACCUGAAUAUUCUUAAGCUACCUAAUAUUCAAGUUUUCUUAAUGAUCUCAUGUCCAAUGAUUUCAACUCCAUUUUCAAAUUAUUGCCUAGUUUUUAUCAAAAACUUGAGGAAUCAUAUGGACGUGGUUCAAGGUCAUGCUUCAUUGCAGCUAUGCCGGCUCUUUUAUGGAAGACUUUUUCCUGACAACUCCAUGCAUUUUAUACACUCUUCUUACAGCCUUCAUUGGCUUUCUCAGGUUCGCCAAUCUCCUGCUUUGUUGUUAUUAACACGCAUUGCUAUGUUGGUAUUUACGGACCCUCACUAUCUUAAUUUUCAUUACUAUCUAUCUAAACCCCUGACUGCCUGAUAUAAUUUUUACAUUAUUACUAUCUGUAAUAGUUUUUGCAAUAGUUUUGCUGUUUUUUUUUCCUGUUCGAUUAAACAUUUGUGUCCUUAUACUUGUCUGUAUCUUACUUUCAGAGUACUUGUGAUGCUACUUGAAUCCUAAUAUGUAACCUUUGUGGUAAAUUAUCUUUGAACUCUUUGAAAAGGUUUGGAUUUAGUUUCCAAACUAGCCAUCACAUAUUUUUUACGUCCUUUAAUGUUGUUCAGCAAAUCAAACUGAUUCCUUGGUGUCAAUUAGAAAAUUAAUAUUCAAGUCUUAGCCUCAAACAUAAUGAAUUCUACAAGUAUACCAAAAGAAUAUGAAAACAAUGCCAAGCCCCAAAACAUGAUACUUAUCAUGUAUUUCUCUACCUCUCUGCUGCAGGUCCCGAGUGGGUUGGUGACUUAGGAAGGGUUGCCACUGAACAAAGGCAAUAUUUACAUAGGUAAAACAAGUCCUAAGAGUGUGCAUGAUGCAUAUUUGGAUCAAUUUGACAGAGAUUUUACAAACUUCUUAAGUGUCCGUGCUGAUGAAUAGGUGUCUGGGGAACACUUAUUUGUGACCUUGGCGACUAAAAUCGAUGGUCCCGUAGCAUAUAACGUUCAGGACUUACUUGGAUGACAAUGAAUGACAUGGUUUCAGAGGUAAUGAUUCAUACACACUCAAUCUCGAUACAAUGUGUGGUGAAAUAUGAUCCCAUCUGGGUAAACUGUACAGGGACUGAUUGAGGAAAAGGCACUCGAUACUUCAACCUUCCACAUUACCGGCCUUCUUUGGAGGAGUAAAACCAUCAUUGAGAAAAAUCGUGCUCUUAAGAUAAGGUAUCUGGACACCAUUCAACUGCGAGUGAUUGGUGCGGAGGCGACAGAUUGCGGGAAGGGCUACGUUUUCAAUACAAACACCAAUGCCAAGUACAGGGCUAGGAUUGAGUGCUAUUUGUGAACCCAUCUUUCAAGCUCACUUUGGAGAUGGUAUAAUGAACGAUUUCUUUAUAAAGUUGGCUGCCAAUAUCUCACAACAUCAGGGAAUGAUGAAGAGCCCUAUCAACAGUCUGGUUCCUUCCCUCUCCAGAACAUGAAAGCGGAAGAUGUAUACUUUGGCUGGAUUAGGUUCAUGAGCAGGCUUAAGUGUGUCGUAUUGGUUUGAAAGGGGUAGAAAUAGUGUCUUAACAUAUAGAUCUAAAUAGUGCAUGAUGCAUAAAUCUGUGGACCUUUUAGAUUAAGAUUGGCUUUGAAUUUAUAUCUGAGCCUCCUUGGUGGGGUUUUUUUCCUUAAUAGUCAGAAAUAAAAUGAUGCGACUUUCCUUGGUGGGGAUUUUUGUGAUUUUAAAUUAAAAAAAUUCAAAUUUUGCCUUUCUUUCCCUUCAUAGCAACAUAGAAUGGAGGAAAAAGAAAGGCAAAUUUUGAAAAUUUUUCUAUUUAAAAUCACAAAAUCAUAGCAAACAUCAUUCUAAAAGAGAUGACUAGUUUGUUUUGUUGAAUCUUGUGAUCAUUAGUAUAAUUUUGUUGCUUAUUUAUAUUGUUAGUUCAUUAAAUGUGAACUUUUGAUUGGUAAAAUAUGUAUUAAUUGUUUCUAAUUUUUAAUUAUUUUUAUUCUUUUACUAUUACAACUUAUUACAUGCAUAAGGAAAUAUUUAUAAAAUCAAAGUUUCAUCUCUCUCCUUAAAGUACUUUUUUAAUGUUACUUUUUCUAAAUUGAUUAAUUUGUUAUUAAACUUUAAUCUCAAGAGAGGUUUGUGUAAUUUUAAAAACUUUAGAGAGGCUAGUAAAAUUGUUAGAAACCUCCGGGAGGUUUAUGAACAUCCCUAAAGAAAACCAAAUGCCUUGGACAGCCGGAAGAGGACCGGUCAGGAUUUGGUUGACGAAAUGAGGAAGGAGAAAUUUUCAGCGAGCUUUUGAAGUCAUUUGAGGCAAGUCUUGUAAAAUUCAAACUUAUUUAGCCCUAUUUUAUGAACUCGGGUUGGUUGAAACCUAAAUCAAACUCCCCAAAGCAUGGUCAAUUAAGUAGUUCAAAAGCUGAAAGCUCUAGAUCACAUUAAAACCUCAAAUCUUAUCUCUCUGCAGGCCAAGCUAGAGUAAUAUAUAUAUGCAUUCUAGCCAGCUAUCUGGGUGACAAUUUAGUAUAGUAAAGACUUUUUACAUGCCUACAAUCCAACAGCUAGCUACCGGUAUUCUUGCCGUCUCAUCUUCAUACUUUCAAUGCUUCCAUUGAUAUGAGAUCCAUAUUCAUGAGAUUGACAAAGAGCAAUCCAGACAGCUUAAACUGGAACCAAGAUCAACCAAAUUGGCUACAGGUCUCAGCCAUGCCAGCUAAAUGGUUCCUUCAUAUGUAUUCCCUGUCUCAAGCAAAUCAGAUCAGAAGAAACCUGCAAAAUACAUGAAAGGUCGAGCACUUCCAUAUGUCUGUGAAAGACAUCCAACAAAGCCUAUUAACUCGAAAGCUGCUGCUUCCUACAUGUUCCAACAAAGCCUAUUAGACACUGACUGUCUUCAAUAUUGAUACAGAUAUUGGAUAAAGAGUUGACAAUGAACAAAGAACACUGUUAACAAUUGGUAAUGGAAAGAUGAUCAUUCCAAAUAAUUACAUAGAUGAACCAAAAAUGGAAUUCAAAAAUUAGCGAGGGCAAUAAAAUUUGCAUAUUGUCAAUGUUAAUAGAAGCAUGAGAAUGAAAGCUAUAUGUCUAUGUAAAACUCGGAAGAAUAGUGAGAUGAUAAUCCUUCCUAUGCUUACAAAGUGAGGUUCUAAUCUUAGCUAGUUUGGCAUAAUAACCCAAGAAAAAGUCAUGAUUGAUAUUCAUGUAUUAAUUCAAAACAAAAAUCAACGGAUUUAGCCUCUAAGUGCUUUCUUUUGAGCAAACGAUUUCUCCUAGUACACUAAAUAUUUAGGACAAAAAUGGACUAGUAAAAGAUAACCUUUUUCAGAAAGAAGCAGCAAAAGAAUGCCGCAAUUCUAUAAAUGUCGGCAAGUAGUUUCCUUCUUCCUUGAAUUUGUUAAGAGUUAAUUGCCAACUUCAUUUCAAUGGCUACGCUGAAAAAAUGCUCAUCUAACCUAGCAGAAUAGACUUGUGGCACAAUAUCUCUAUCAAGUGGAAUGAAGGACCUUGAAAAACUUCCUUGAGUAACAUUUACUAUUGUCUUCACAGAUGUCAAUAUUUUAAAGAGUUCUUGGUAAAAUUCUUAGGUCUACUUAUCUUUCUUAGCUAAAGCACAAAAAAAAAGCUACUUGAAAGCACCUAUUUAUUGCUUAUUUAAGUUAAAAUUUCUAAUUUUCUACUAUUCAAAUAAAAAAAAAAGUUAAAACCCAACAAGGUAUUAUGGUAAUAUAUGUUAGUUUACCUUGACAAAUUCAACACCUAGCUAGGUGGACACGCCGGAAUAAUCAACUGUUAGCACAAGUGCAUCAUGAAUCUCUCUUAUUUUUGGGUGAAAGUAUAGUCCUUGUCCAAUCAGAAAGGCAUUGCAUGAUCUAGCGGCAGUGCUUCAUUGAACCUUUGAACGAGGACUUAGAACCUUGCAUGUGAAUACAUAUUCUUGCAGCACAUAAUCUUUGAAUUUU
This 14898-nucleotide long non-coding RNA is filed under the name Coffea arabica (coffee). RNAcentral describes it as "long non-coding RNA (CARA_LNC000044)". Lineage: Eukaryota; Viridiplantae; Streptophyta; Magnoliopsida; Gentianales; Rubiaceae. The record is from RNAcentral.